RNAcentral lists this long non-coding RNA (232 nucleotides) under Anas platyrhynchos platyrhynchos (common mallard). RNAcentral's name for it is "lncRNA (ENSAPLG00000022066.1)". The record is from RNAcentral. Lineage: Eukaryota; Metazoa; Chordata; Aves; Anseriformes; Anatidae.
UACACAGCCAAAGUGAGAACUUCACAGUCAGAGGGAGAGGGGUAAUACCUGCUGCAGCUGGCAGCUGGAAUAGCUGUGAAGUUGCAACUGGAGGAAAAUGAGGAAAAAUGCUUCCUUGCUACUCUGCAAGCCUGCAUCUAUUUAAGCCAAGCAUAUUGUGGUAACUCAAGCUGGAAGAAGAACACUGAACUAGAAAAAUAUUUGUUCUAACCAUGUAUGGUCAGAAACACCU